CACUCCUACGGGAGGCAACAGUGGGGAAUAUUGGACAAUGGGCGCAAGCCUGAUCCAGCCAUGCCGCGUGAGUGAUGAAGGCCCUAGGGUUGUAAAGCUCUUUCACCGGUGAAGAUAAUGACGGUAACCGGAGAAGAAGCCCCGGCUAACUUCGUGCCAGCAGCCGCGGUAAUACGAAGGGGGCUAGCGUUGUUCGGAUUUACUGGGCGUAAAGCGCACGUAGGCGGACUAUUAAGUCAGGGGUGAAAUCCCGGGGCUCAACCCCGGAACUGCCUUUGAUACUGGUAGUCUUGAGUUCGAGAGAGGUGAGUGGAAUUCCGAGUGUAGAGGUGAAAUUCGUAGAUAUUCGGAGGAACACCAGUGGCGAAGGCGGCUCACUGGCUCGAUACUGACGCUGAGGUGCGAAAGCGUGGGGAGCAAACAGGAUUAGAAACCCUUGUAGUCCCAUG
Molecule: ribosomal RNA, 449 nt
Filed under: uncultured organism
Description: partial 16S ribosomal RNA
Rfam family: Bacterial small subunit ribosomal RNA
Source: RNAcentral